GACGAACGCUGGCGGCGUGCUUAACACAUGCAAGUCGAACGGAAAGGCCCCUUUGGGGUUACUCGAGUGGCGAACGGGUGAGUAACACGUGAGUAACCUGCCCUUGACUUCGUGAUAACUUCAGGAAGCUGGGGCUAAUACCGGAUAGGAAUCCUUGCUGCAUCGUGGGGGUUGGAAAGCUUCGGCGGUUUUGGAUGGACUCGCGGCUUAUCAGCUUGUUGGUGGGGUAGUGGCUUACCAAGGCUUUGACGGGUAGCCGGCCUGAGAGGGCGACCGGCCACAUUGGGACUGAGAUACGGCCCAGACUCCUACGGGAGGCAGCAGUGGGGAAUAUUGCACAAUGGGCGGAAGCCUGAUGCAGCAACGCCGCGUGCGGGAUGACGGCCUUCGGGUUGUAAACCGCUUUCAGCAGGGGCGAAGCUUUUGUGACGGUACCUGCAGAAGAAGCACCGGCUAACUACGUG
RNAcentral lists this ribosomal RNA (464 nucleotides) under uncultured bacterium. RNAcentral describes it as "partial 16S ribosomal RNA". It matches the Rfam family "Bacterial small subunit ribosomal RNA", at positions 28 to 507 of the family's 1533-position model. The record is from RNAcentral.